GGGUGUAUGAGCUCAGUGGUAAAGCUUCAGAUUUUAGAUCUGUAGGUCGCCGGUUCAAAUCCGGCUGUACCCU
Molecule: non-coding RNA, 73 nt
Organism: Exocentrus adspersus
Lineage: Eukaryota; Metazoa; Arthropoda; Insecta; Coleoptera; Cerambycidae
Source: the annotation of a GenBank genome assembly